Non-coding RNA from Triticum aestivum (bread wheat), 136 nucleotides. The record is from Rfam. NCBI's taxonomy places the organism in Eukaryota, Viridiplantae, Streptophyta, Magnoliopsida, Poales, Poaceae.
CUACUACUCCCUCUGUCCUGAAUUAGUUGUCUCAGAUUUGUCUAGAUAUGGAUGUACCUAAACACUAAAAAGUGUCUAGAUACAUCCGUAUCUGGACAAAUCUGAGACAAUUAAUUCGGGACGGAGGUAAUAGUAU